AGUGAACGCUGGCGGUAGGCCUAACACAUGCAAGUCGAACGAGACCUUUGGGUCUAGUGGCGCACGGGUGCGUAACGCGUGGGAAUCUGCCCUUGGGUACGGAACAACAGUUAGAAAUGACUGCUAAUACCGUAUAAUGACUCCGGUCCAAAGAUUUAUCGCCCAGGGAUGAGCCCGCGUCGGAUUAGCUAGUUGGUGAG
Molecule: ribosomal RNA, 200 nt
Filed under: uncultured bacterium
Lineage: Bacteria
Description: partial 16S ribosomal RNA
Rfam family: Bacterial small subunit ribosomal RNA
Source: RNAcentral